AGAGUUUGAUCCUGGCUCAGAAUCAACGCUGGCGGCGUGCCUCAGACAUGCAAGUCGAACGAUUAAAGCUCCCUUCGGGGAGUGUAUAAAGUGGCGCACGGGUGAGUAACACGUAAGUAAUCUACCUUCGAGUGGGGAAUAACGUUCGGAAACGGACGCUAAUACCGCAUAAUGCAGCGGCAUCACAAGAUGACAGUUGUUAAAGGAGCAAUUCGCUUGAAGAGGAGCUUGCGGCAGAUUAGCUAGUUGGUAAGGUAAUGGCUUACCAAGGCUACGAUCUGUAUCCGGUCUAAGAGGACGGUCGGACACACUGACACUGAAUAACGGGUCAGACUCCUACGGGAGGCAGCAGUCGGGAAUUUUGGGCAAUGGGCGAAAGCCUGACCCAGCAACGCCGCGUGAAGGAUGAAGUAUUUCGGUAUGUAAACUUCGAAAGAAUGGGAAGAAUUAAUGACGGUACCAUUUAUAAGCUCCGGCUAACUACGUG
RNAcentral lists this ribosomal RNA (487 nucleotides) under uncultured bacterium. Its description in RNAcentral is "bacterial SSU rRNA". It matches the Rfam family "Bacterial small subunit ribosomal RNA", at positions 8 to 507 of the family's 1533-position model. The record is from RNAcentral.